GCCGAAAGCUGUUGUUCUCUUAUUCCAAGCGCUUUCAGUUAGAUACAAAACCUGGAAUAGAAUUUCAUGGGAUUCACAGACCCCAAGAAGCGAAAGAGGGAACCCUUCAUGAGGGUCUUGUGGCUUCCCAGAUACAGCAGAGGACUAUACAACCCCAAUCAAGACGAAGCCAGGACUGAACCAUUUCUGAAAGCAGCACACGUGGUCACUGUCAGUCACCAGACACCAAAGGAGUCUUAACCCACUCUUCUGUGCCUUCCGUCUGCUAGGAUAUGUUUAUUUUUCCCCACAC
RNAcentral lists this long non-coding RNA (292 nucleotides) under Fukomys damarensis (Damara mole-rat). RNAcentral describes it as "lncRNA (ENSFDAG00000025621.1)". Lineage: Eukaryota; Metazoa; Chordata; Mammalia; Rodentia; Bathyergidae. The record is from RNAcentral.